This 74-nucleotide transfer RNA is filed under the name Paracoccaceae bacterium. RNAcentral's name for it is "Rhodobacteraceae bacterium (hydrothermal vent metagenome) tRNA-Gln". It matches the Rfam family "tRNA". Rfam says of the family: Transfer RNA (tRNA) molecules are approximately 80 nucleotides in length. RNAcentral also lists the same sequence under 1 other name. Lineage: Bacteria; Pseudomonadati; Pseudomonadota; Alphaproteobacteria; Rhodobacterales; Paracoccaceae. The record is from RNAcentral.
UGGGGGAUAGUUUAGCGGUAGAACAUCGGACUCUGACUCCGAGAGCCCAGGUUCGAAUCCUGGUCCCCCAGCCA